Oryzias latipes (Japanese medaka) is the source of this 568-nucleotide non-coding RNA. The record is from RefSeq and is a predicted model, not a curated record. Lineage: Eukaryota; Metazoa; Chordata; Actinopteri; Beloniformes; Adrianichthyidae.
CCCAGGAAGAUAACCCCCCACCCCCACCCCACCCAAGGAACCCCCAGCCGUGGGCCCAGGCCCCUGGUCUGGCAUACAGCAAAUGCCAGAGCGAAGGAAGCCCGCAGAGUCGCUUGGGGAAAAUCAGAAUAACAGAAAGAAAUGGAAAAUCAAAAUCCCCCACCACCACCCCCACCCCCCCAGGAAGAUAACCCCCCACCCCCACCCCACCCAAGGAACCCCCAACCUGCCCACAGCCGUGGGCCCAGGCCCCUGGUCUGGCACGCCGAUGUGAAUCGCGCGAGGCGGGACCGCAGAAUCGCCAGCGACAAUCAGUUUAUUCUGGGGAGGCUGCUACCAUUGGCGCGGAACGAGGAGGAGAGGCGCCGCCUCCGCCAAGUUUACGGUCCUAACUAAAAUGGCUCUCCUUCGAAGGCUCCUGGCCUUAGCGACAACCGACAAGGAGAGGCGCCGCCGAUUUUAAUACACAGCCCGCUUUAAGAAAAAAAUUGGACAAAAAAAAUCUUUGUUGUUGAAUUUGAAAAAGAAAAUGUUUUGAAAAAACAAACUUUUGUUGUUGAAAUUAAAA